This 482-nucleotide ribosomal RNA is filed under the name uncultured bacterium. RNAcentral's name for it is "partial 16S ribosomal RNA". It matches the Rfam family "Bacterial small subunit ribosomal RNA", at positions 30 to 507 of the family's 1533-position model. The record is from RNAcentral.
AUUGAACGCUGGCGGCAUGCUUUACACAUGCAAGUCGAACGGUAACAGGCCGCAAGGUGCUGACGAGUGGCGAACGGGUGAGUAAUGCAUCGGAACGUGCCCAGUCGUGGGGGAUAACUACUCGAAAGAGUAGCUAAUACCGCAUACGAUCUAUGGAUGAAAGCGGGUGACCGUAAGGCCUCGCGCGAUUGGAGCGGCCGAUGUCAGAUUAGGUAGUUGGUGGGGUAAAGGCUCACCAAGCCAACGAUCUGUAGCUGGUCUGAGAGGACGACCAGCCACACUGGGACUGAGACACGGCCCAGACUCCUACGGGAGGCAGCAGUGGGGAAUUUUGGACAAUGGGCGCAAGCCUGAUCCAGCAAUGCCGCGUGCAGGAAGAAGGCCUUCGGGUUGUAAACUGCUUUUGUACGGAACGAAACGGCUCUGGUUAAUACCCGGGGCUAAUGACGGUACCGUAAGAAUAAGCACCGGCUAACUACGUG